Molecule: ribosomal RNA, 468 nt
Filed under: uncultured bacterium
Lineage: Bacteria
Description: partial 16S ribosomal RNA
Rfam family: Bacterial small subunit ribosomal RNA
Source: RNAcentral
GACGAACGCUGGCGGCGUGCUUAACACAUGCAAGUCGAACGGAAAGGUCCUGUCUUUGUGGGGUGCUCGAGUGGCGAACGGGUGAGUAACACUUGAGUAACCUGUCCUUGACUUUGGGAUAACUUAAGGAAACUUGGGCUAAUACCGCAUAGGAGCUCCUGCUUCUUGGUGGGGGCGGGAUAGUUUCGGCGGUUGGGGAUGGACUCGCGGCUUAUCAGCUUGUUGGUGGGGUAGUGGCUGACCAAGACUUUGCCCGGUGGCCGGCCUGAGAGGGCGACCGGCCACAUUGGGACUGAGAUACGGCACAGACUACUACGGGAGGCAGCAGUGGGGAAUAUUGCACAAUGGGAGGGAGCCUGAUGCAGCAACGCCGCGUGCGGGAUGACGGCCUUCGGGUUGUAAACCGCUUUCGCCUGUGACGAAGCGUGAGUGACGGUAAUGGGUGAAGAAGCACCGGCUAACUACGUG